UACGUAGGGCGCAAGCGUUAUCCGGAAUUAUUGGGCGUAAAGAGCUCGUAGGCGGUUUGUCGCGUCUGCCGUGAAAGUCCGGGGCUCAACUCCGGAUCUGCGGUGGGUACGGGCAGACUAGAGUGAUGUAGGGGAGACUGGAAUUCCUGGUGUAGCGGUGAAAUGCGCAGAUAUCAGGAGGAACACCAAUGGCGAAGGCAGCACUCUGGGCCGGUACUGACGCUGAGGAGCGAAAGCGUGGGGAGCAAACAGG
RNAcentral lists this ribosomal RNA (253 nucleotides) under uncultured bacterium. RNAcentral's name for it is "partial 16S ribosomal RNA". It matches the Rfam family "Bacterial small subunit ribosomal RNA", at positions 524 to 776 of the family's 1533-position model. The record is from RNAcentral.